GUUGGGACUACACAUGUGCCAUCACACUCAGCUUUUGUCUGUGAUCCAUGUGGAAACCAUUCUUCUGUGUAUAGUGUAAGGGAAACCACCUUUGCUUUGACAUAUGUGUGUAAACGGUAUUGUCUGUCGAACGUUGCCUCGUGAGUCAUAAAAAGAAACAUCCCAGCCUCUUUGUUAAGAGAAGUGCUGUCAAACUAUUUACAUUCUUACGAACAGACACAAGUCUACACAAAAUGACAAGCGCACAUUUCGGUGGCAACAGAUCAGCUGCUUCAGAAAUUUAUCUGGCUUGGGGAAGAGAUAUUAUUAACAAAAGCAAAUAUGGAACCACUCUGAGGAAUUACCAGCAGCUGAUGUAAAUUUUCACCUCAGAAACAGACCAGGUCCAGGGAGAAAAAAACUAGAGAGGUUUUGAUUCUCCUCCCACCGUCUGCCUUUCUUUUCCAAAGAAUAGAGAGCCUGCCCCAACUGGAAAAUCAGGUAGCUUCUCCCACACAGGAAGGGAUCUGCUGCCUGAGGCAGAAAGGGCUGCUUGGGUGCCUCUGUCCCCAGUGCCCCUUCAUUUCUGUCUUCCUACAUCCUCUUGAGAUUACAUGUUGAUUACAUUAUAUUCUAUUGUAUCGUACUACAUAAUACAGCAACACUGAAAGAAUGAAAGGAAACGGGAAAGGGAGUGAAUUGGCCUUUGCACCCUGAGGAUAGGAAGAGGGUGGUGGAUACUGGGACAGCCUGGUGGACCCAGCCCUCCCAGGGUUAUUAGAUGACAUUUGUCACGUACCAUUCCUGGCAGCAGCGGCAGGUCAGGGUGACCAGGAUCACCUAGGAAUGCAUGUACUUCUGACAGUCAUGAAACCAAGGCAUGAGAGCAAGAGAUAGUUUUGGGGUCUGGUAUCCAAAAAUUCAAAUUAGUAAAUUUCAUGUUAUGUGUAUUUUAUCACAAUUAAAAAAAAAAACUCAAACUUUAAACAUUCAGAGAUUUGUUUAAGGGGUAUAUGGCUCUGGUAUCCAUAAUGCUGUAAAAAGGGAAAUCUUUUAGUCCCUGAGGUGGACAGCAGCAAGUCCUAAGUCCUCCAAUCUGAUAAGCAUAGUGGGACAGAGGACUCCUCACUUGAGGACAUCUAGGUCGAAAACAAACAAAAAAAAUCACAAAACUUAUGAAAAUAUUCUAUAAUGUAGGAGGAGGCUAUUGCUCUUAAAAUGCAGAGAAAAAUCAUACUUUUGAAAAACAGUUAACUACAAGAAACAGGAAAUCUUUAGAAAACAUUCCCUUGGUGGACUCAAUGAAAUAUAAGAAAACACAAAAUAACAAAUGGAAAGUGAGAUGUAAAAGGCUACUUAAAUGCUUUCUGAGAUGUAAACUGAUACAGUAAGGUUCAGGCUGAGAGAAGAAAAUAAUUGUAAAGAAUAAAAAUGUAACCAAUUUACUGUUUUUGAUAGAGCACAACAGAGAAGUGACACUUCGGAAAAGUAAUUCAGUAACAUGGAAGACAAAUUUGAGAAGCCAUCCCAGAAAGCAGAGGAAAAAGACAAAGCCAAAAUCUGAAAGAGAAAUAAAGUUAUUAACUUGGGGAGGGGAUGGUGAAGAAAAGGCAGAAUAAGAACUAUGCGAGACAGAAAACAAAGAUUCACUUCACAAAAUAGAGGAAAAAUGUCUACAAAGCUUUAAGAAUAAAAAGAAA
RNAcentral lists this long non-coding RNA (1679 nucleotides) under Homo sapiens (human). RNAcentral describes it as "HSALNT0356686". Lineage: Eukaryota; Metazoa; Chordata; Mammalia; Primates; Hominidae. The record is from RNAcentral.